RNAcentral lists this ribosomal RNA (773 nucleotides) under uncultured Neocallimastigales. RNAcentral's name for it is "partial large subunit ribosomal RNA". It matches the Rfam family "Eukaryotic large subunit ribosomal RNA", at positions 18 to 616 of the family's 3401-position model. Lineage: Eukaryota; Fungi; Neocallimastigomycota; Neocallimastigomycetes; Neocallimastigales. The record is from RNAcentral.
UCAGACGAUGCGUCAUGCAUAUCAAUAAGCGGAGGAAAAGAAACUAACAAGGAUUCCCCUAGUAACGGCGAGUGAAGCGGGAAGAGCUCAAAUUUGAAAUCUUAAAGGGUUUCCCUUUACGAAUUGUAGUUUAAAGAAGUGUUUUCUGUUGAGGUUUUGGUAAAAGUUCUUUGGAAUAGGACAUCAUAGAGGGUGAGAAUCCCGUAUUUGACCUUUACUUUCAACUUUGUGAUACACUUUCAAAGAGUCGGAUUUUGGGAAUGCAGUCCAAAAUGGGUGGUAAAUUUCAUCUAAAGCUAAAUAUUGGCGAGAGACCGAUAGCGAACAAGUACCGUGAGGGAAAGAUGAAAAGAACUUUGAAAAGAGAGUUAAACAGUACGUGAAAUUGUCAAAAGGGAAGCGUUUGACACCAGUGUUGUUUUUCUGAAAAUCAAUUAAAGAACUGUUUAUGCUAAGCUGUUUAGACUUUAUCAGCUAUACUGUUUAGUUUUGAGCUUUUCUUUAAUGCACUUUUCAGUUAACAAGUCAACAUCAAUUUCUUUUGCUGUAAAAAAGCUUGAGGAAGGUGGCUUGAGAUUCGUCUUAAGUGUUUAUAGCCUCUUGCCUAUGCAGUCGGAGAGAUUGAGGUCUGCAGCGUAGAUCCUUCGGGGCUAAAUGCAUUUGUGCUAAGUUAUAGCAUUUUAUAGACAACUUGUUGACUAUGAUUUGUCUUGUAGCUUACUCGCUUAUGUUAUUUUACCUACGCUUAGGAUGUUGAGCGCAUGUCUCUCUCU